Molecule: long non-coding RNA, 444 nt
Filed under: Parus major (Great Tit)
Lineage: Eukaryota; Metazoa; Chordata; Aves; Passeriformes; Paridae
Description: lncRNA (ENSPMJG00000016338.1)
Source: RNAcentral
AAGAAAGUUAACACACAAACGUCAGAUUGGAUUACUUGGAGCAUUUGACAACCACUUGGACGGGCAGUUGUGCUGCUCUGCACAGUCACCCUCGUGUUGUGCCUCCAGCACAAGACACAUAUCCCUCCGCACCAGUCUAAUGUGACAAUCGCUACCCAUGUCUUGCAAGAGAGCAAUUAGCAGUAUUUAAUUCCCUGGACAGAAGAAUCAAGAUCAGCAGUUUUCUCAGAUCCUGCAGAGGCAGCUGGGUCAGCAGUUACAGUGCAGUACAGCAAGAAUGCUGUGAGAGAGGGGCCAGCCAAUUACCUAUCACUUCCAUAUCUGUGGCAAGCAGUACAGCCCAGACUUGGAAAAAUCAUCAAAGCUGUACAUAAACAGGGAAAAAUACAUAUAGCUGGGAUUUCCCCUCCUGUGCACCAGUGAUGUUAUUCCCGAUGAUUGUUG